AGUGGUGAAUGGCCUGAGUAGAAGGCGACGGAAAGCGCGGUAAAGGUAGUGGCAUCGAACGUGAAUACAAAGCGUUGACUAUAUGAAUAUGCCAUCAUUGAUCGAAAGGGAAUCCGGUUAAUAUUCCGGAACCGAGACAUGGAGAAUCGCCCGUCGUUACCGGCGAGACGAAGUGCAGUGACGCAAGCGCACUCAAAGAAUGGCCGGCGAUACUUCCGGGAAGAGUUCUCUUUUCUUUUCAAGUGACGGACACCCUAGAAAUGGUUAAUUCGGAGAUACGUCUGCCGGGGCGUACGGAGCGCUGUCGUCGGUUCAUAAAAAUUUGAGGAAGGCAAAAGUUCUCAUGCUCGGUCGUACUCAUAUCUGCAGCAGGUCUCCAAGGUGAAUUGCCUCU
RNAcentral lists this non-coding RNA (394 nucleotides) under Soboliphyme baturini. RNAcentral describes it as "Eukaryotic large subunit ribosomal RNA". It matches the Rfam family "Eukaryotic large subunit ribosomal RNA", at positions 1495 to 1884 of the family's 3401-position model. Lineage: Eukaryota; Metazoa; Nematoda; Enoplea; Dioctophymatida; Soboliphymatidae. The record is from Rfam by way of RNAcentral.